GACGAACGCUGGCGGCGUGCUUAACACAUGCAAGUCGAACGGAAAGGCCCUUCGGGGUACUCGAGUGGCGAACGGGUGAGUAACACGUGGGUGAUCUGCCCUGCACUUUGGGAUAAGCCUGGGAAACUGGGUCUAAUACCGAAUAUGAUCAUGCUCUUCAUGGGGUGUGGUGGAAAGCUUUUGCGGUGUGGGAUGGGCCCGCGGCCUAUCAGCUUGUUGGUGGGGGAAUGGCCUACCAAGGCGACGACGGGUAGCCGGCCUGCGAGGGUGACCGGCCACGCUGGGACUGCGCUACGGCCCAGACUCCGACGGGAGGCAGCAGUGGGGAAUAUUGCACAAUGGGCGCAAGCCUGAUGCAGCGACGCCGCGUGAGGGAUGACGGCCUUCGGGUUGUAAACCUCUUUCAGCACAGACGAAGCGCGAGUGACGGUAUGUGCAGAAGAAGGACCGGCCAACUACGUGCCAGCCGCCGCGGUAA
This 478-nucleotide ribosomal RNA is filed under the name uncultured bacterium. RNAcentral describes it as "partial 16S ribosomal RNA". It matches the Rfam family "Bacterial small subunit ribosomal RNA", at positions 28 to 523 of the family's 1533-position model. The record is from RNAcentral.